GAAACGCUGCUAAGACUGGAUAGGAGAUAAGAAGGCAUCUUCUUAUUUUUAAAAGACCUAGCAAUAGGUAUGCUUAGGGAAGAGCUUGCGUCACAUUAGUUAGUUGGUGGGGUAAUGGCCUACCAAGACGAUGAUGUGUAGCCGGGCUGAGAGGUCGAACGGCCACAUUGGGACUGAGACACGGCCCAAACUCCUACGGGAGGCAGCAGUAAGGAAUUUUCGGCAAUGGAGGAAACUCUGACCGAGCAAUGCCGCGUGAACGAUGAAGUAUUUCGGUACGUAAAGUUCUUUUAUUAGGGAAGAAAAGAUGGUGGAAAAACUAUUAUGACGGUACCUAAUGAGUAAGCCCCGGCUAACUAUGUGCCAGCAGCCGCGGUAAUACAUAGGGGGCAAGCGUUAUCCGGAAUUAUUGGGCGUAAAGGGUGCGUAGGCGGUUAAAUAAGUUUAUGGUCUAAGUGCAACGCUCAACGUUGUGAUGCUAUAAAAACUGUUUAGCUAGAGUUGGAUAGAGGCAAGUGGAAUUCCGUGUGUAGUGGUAAAAUGCGUAAAUAUACGGAGGAACACCUGAAGCGAAGGCGGCUUGCUGGGUCUUAACUGACGCCGAGGCACGAAAGCGUGGGGAGCAAACAGGAUUAGAUACCCUGGUAGUCCACGCCCUAAACGAUGAGUACUAAACGUUGGAUAAAACCAGUGUUGAAGUUAACACAUUAAGUACUCCGCCUGAGUAGUACGUACGCAAGUAUGAAAUUUAAAGGAAUUGACGGGGCUCCGCACAAGCGGUGGAUCAUGUUGUUUAAUUCGAAGGUACCCGAAAAACCUCACCAGGUCUUGACAUGCUUUUGCAAAGCUGUAGAAAUACAGUGGAGGUUAUCAGAGGCACAGGUGGUGCAUGGUUGUCGUCAGCUCGUGUCGUGAGAUGUUGGGUUAAGUCCCGCAACGAGCGCAACCCUUGUUGUUAAUUGCCAUCAUUAAGUUGGGGACUUUAGCAAGACUGCCAAUGAUAAAUUGGAGGAAGGUGGGGACGACGUCAAAUCAUCAUGCCCCUUAUGACCUGGACUACAAACGUGAUACAAUGGCUGUUACAAAGGGUAGCUAAAGCGUAAGCUUCUGGCGAAUCUCAAAAAAGCAGUCUCAGUUCGGAUUGAAGUCUGCAACUCGACUUCAUGAAGUUGGAAUCGCUAGUAAUCGCGAAUCAGCAUGUCGCGGUGAAUACGUUGACGGGGUUUGUACACACCGCCCGUCA
This 1243-nucleotide ribosomal RNA is filed under the name Candidatus Phytoplasma solani. RNAcentral's name for it is "bacterial SSU rRNA". It matches the Rfam family "Bacterial small subunit ribosomal RNA", at positions 154 to 1399 of the family's 1533-position model. RNAcentral also lists the same sequence under 1 other name. Lineage: Bacteria; Bacillati; Mycoplasmatota; Mollicutes; Acholeplasmatales; Acholeplasmataceae. The record is from RNAcentral.